Molecule: ribosomal RNA, 164 nt
Filed under: Muhlenbergia decumbens
Lineage: Eukaryota; Viridiplantae; Streptophyta; Magnoliopsida; Poales; Poaceae
Also listed under: 1 other name
Description: 5.8S ribosomal RNA
Rfam family: 5.8S ribosomal RNA
About the family: 5.8S ribosomal RNA (5.8S rRNA) is a component of the large subunit of the eukaryotic ribosome.
Source: RNAcentral
AACAUGACUCUCGGCAACGGAUAUCUCGGCUCUCGCAUCGAUGAAGAACGUAGCAAAAUGCGAUACCUGGUGUGAAUUGCAGAAUCCCGUGAACCAUCGAGUUUUUGAACGCAAGUUGCGCCCGAAGCCUUCUGGUUGAGGGCACGUCUGCCUGGGCGUCACGC